GGUGUAGCGCAUGGUAGAAGCAAAUACCUGCAGACAAUGCGACCCGCAGGAUGUGGAGUUUGCUUUUCCACUUCGGGGUGAGAAGCAAAGCCGUUUUGAUCUACUUUUCAUCAUGACUACAAAAAGAAGAAGAAGAAGAAAAAAAAAAACCCUCCCGACUUUAUGUUUCUCGUCUCCGCGAUCAUUACUAUUUAAAUAGCUGGUAGUAAUGUGGACAUAAACAUAGCCCCGAGCUUGAAUUACCACCGCCCACCUUCCCCAUUAACCGAUUAAAAGCUUUGCGACUCUCCGCUCGCUUUAUCCCCGGAAAGAGCCACGGGGAGACGGGCGGGACUCUCGGGAGGAUGAGAGCGAACACUCAGCGAGCUUAAUCUGUCGUCUCCGAGGGCUGCGAGCGGGCAGCGGCUGGAUGAACGGGCUCUUUAAAGAGAGACGCUUCUCAGGUGCGGAGGGACACAGUCUGGCAAAUGGCUGCCUUCGGUACUUAUUGAGCACUUUAGCGGAGUUAAUUGGGGCACCCACCUGGGUACGUCUGAUCCGCGGUCGGAGUGCCAGAAGGAUAAUGCCCAGCAGCCCAAUUGAAAGUGUGUGUGUGUGCGUGCGUGUAUGUGUGUCUGUAGAUGUGUUUAUGUGUGCAUUUGUGUGUAUAUGUGCAACCGUGUACGUGUGUGUAUAAUUAUGUAAUAUAUUCAAAUAAAAAUAACAAAGCAUUGAA
Conger conger (European conger) is the source of this 715-nucleotide long non-coding RNA. RefSeq lists it as uncharacterized. The record is from RefSeq and is a predicted model, not a curated record. NCBI's taxonomy places the organism in Eukaryota, Metazoa, Chordata, Actinopteri, Anguilliformes, Congridae. The transcript has 2 exons.